Molecule: non-coding RNA, 31 nt
Filed under: Mus musculus (house mouse)
Lineage: Eukaryota; Metazoa; Chordata; Mammalia; Rodentia; Muridae
Source: RNAcentral
UGAAAAGAAUCACAUGGUCCUACACUGCCAU